This is a long non-coding RNA of Drosophila yakuba, 3980 nucleotides long. RefSeq lists it as uncharacterized. The transcript is spliced from 2 exons. The record is from RefSeq and is a predicted model, not a curated record. Lineage: Eukaryota; Metazoa; Arthropoda; Insecta; Diptera; Drosophilidae.
UAUAAGCCAGAUAUAACCAGCAAUGUCAAGUGUUUAAAAGCGGUAAUUUCCUGUAGCCAGCGGGAAACAGGAGUGGGCCAUUCACGGCCACGGAAUCAAUUAAAUGUUUAGCGUUUCGAUUCGCGUGCUGGGGAGUCGCCCCCUGGAAAAUUGAUACCGCCGCCAAUGCACUUUCCACCGCCCAACCGCCUUUGAUUAGCCAUUUGUGUAAUUGAAGGACGGAUAAAUGUCUUUAUUUAAUGCCAGAGCACCGCCUCUUUUGGCCACUGCUUAAAUAUUAAAGGCAGUGGAAGUUGUCAUCUUGUUUGCACAAUUUCCAAUUGCCUCGUUAUAAAGUAAUUUUCAUCUAUUGAUUUUCACUUUAUUUGCCAUUUCAAUAGGGCACAAUCGAAGCGGGCUUUCGACUGCGAAGCGUUGACGCAAUUAAAUAUUGAUUGGCAGGGAAAUUCUUGCAAUUGACGCAUAAAAGAGUGUUAAAGACAUCAGACGGUGAAGGAUGUGCACAGAAACCGAAGGCCGAUUGUGUGACUAUUAAUCUAAUCGAUAAAAGGUGUAAAUACCUAUUGCGAAAAGUAAAAGUGGUUUAUCAAGGAAGUUGGGGAAUAAAUGGUUGCUCUUAAUACUUUUUAAACUAUUAGCUAACAUUUAAUCGCGACGUCGAUUAAGUGACGUCUUUUGAUGAGCUCUCUCGUUUAUAGGAUGUCAUAUUAUGUACAUGUAAAUAAAUAGUAUUUUCAAGGCAGGUGCUAAAAAGUGAUUAAGAUAAGAGGAUGGAAAUAGGUGAGAAAUAACAUUCUACAGGUUAUUUCUUGGCUUUAACAACUCAAAUACACUCUGUUUAUUCGAUUUUAAUGUACCAUCCAAACGACUCGAGGCACAGACGAGUGUGCCAUAUACCAAAUUAGUUUCCUAUCGAUUUAUGGCAGCAGCUUAAAGCCAGAUUAACGCGACGACUAGAGUUAAAUGUUUGGCAAUCAUAAAGCGAAAUAUGAUUUUAAUUGGCAGCUUUAUAAUCCGCCAGUCGACGCACUCAGAGAUACAGCACCCAGUACACUCGCAGCCACAGUUCCAGACAUGCCACACACACUUCACACACUCCACAUACGACAUGUGUGACAUAUACGACAUAUAUGUGCGACAUACAGGUGCAAGUGUCAAGAAGUCGAUCGGCAGACGUGCGAGGAGCUUAUCGCCGGGCGAUAGCAACACGAGCUACAGCUACAUAUUUACGACAGACAUAAUGGGGCGACUCAAAUAAACGAUCGGCGAUCGCAACGAAAGCAUUUCCAGAUAACUCCGACUCGAUUCGACUUGACUCCCAAUCCGAUCCCAUCCAAGGCUGCACCAAGAAGAGCCCGCGGCCUCAAUUCGAUUCGAUUCGAUUGGACUCCAUUCGAUUCGAUUGGAUUGGAUUGGAUCCAUGAGGUGGUCAUCAGAGACUUCCAGAACGCAUUGACUCAGCCAAAUAUUGAAUUUGCACUGGUCAUUGGCCCUUUCACCACCUGCAAACAACCUGCCAGUGCUGGCAUUAUAAAUAGAUCGGAUAGCUUAUCUGAUAUCUGAUUAUUAAACUCUACACUUUGCUUCCGACGUCACUGAUAUUGUAUAGUACAUGGCCCAGUAUAUGGAACUCUAUUGCUUUUCGCAGAUCGAUCAACAGUUUCCAAUUAAGGAAUUUCUUUAGUAUCUUAUCUUGCAUUUAGACGUAGCUUGCAAUUUUCUUAAUUAACUACGGACUUACAAGCGUUUAAUUGGGCUUCUUCAUUUUAUUUAUACAGCUUCUAUACUCCCAUCCAUUUAGUUUUAGUUUAGUAUAGUUUUACUUGAUUUUAUUUCUUAUUAAGCUACGCAACUAAAAGGAGCAACUUGCUCUUUCCAGUUCCCACUGGCCUUUCUGCCUGGCGCAUAUGAGAGCACCUGAUGCUGUGGCCCUUAUCUUAUCCAAGAUAUAUACGAUGUUUUCGUAUUCCACUGACAUCCAUUCUCCAUUUAUCUUGUAUUUAUUUGAUACUCCAGACGCACAGUGCCUGCUAAUAAUGUUCGCACCAAGUGCAGAAUCUUCUACACAUUUCAUACAGUGCCUAUUUCUCAAAUUUCUCGUAACUAAACCUUUUAUUUUUUGGAUUCUGAUUUAAACUUUUUUACGAUUGUGCUGGUUAUAAAUAGUUCGUAGCUCGAGAUUACCGAUUACCUGCCAAAAUCGGUUUGCAAUGCCUCGUUUCCCUGUGUAUGUACAUACAUUUCGGUUCGGUUAUCUCGCCCAACUUUUUUACUAUCUGCAUAAAAUUACACAACUAAUGGUGGGUAAACACACAGAAAGGGGAAAAUCGUAUUUAUAGACCGCCGGUCGGUAUUUGAGUUAUCAUUAUGAUAGAAUUUGCAUAGAGUGGAGAGUGGAUUAUUAUUUUUUUUUUCAUAUUUUCGGGCAUUGAUAAGGUGGGAUUCGAUGGGUGGAAAAUUAACGGAGCCGAAUUCAAGUGGCGGAUUGAUUCAAGUGCCUGCAACGCGUCACCGGUGGCCUUGGAGGAGGGGCUGCGAUCUGGGCGCGGGAUUAGGGGCGUGGCCGUAGUUAGGCGGUUUCGUCCAGAUAAAAAAAAUGAAACAUGACAAUCAGUCAUGUUGCCACUAUCAAAUGACUUUUGAUUUCCGAUACGAUUCUGAAGCACUGCAAAUUAAUUCCAUUUCCGUGCAAAGGUUAGGUUUGAACUUGAUAAUGAUAAUUGUGUCGUAAAUGAACAAUAAAUAAAACCUUUUGUCAUCGGUUUUUAUCAUAUUCCAUUAAAAAUUCCAUCUUUCGUCAUACAAUUUCAAUCGUUAUCCUUUUAUCUUAUAACCAUUACUGGCAUUUGGGGGUUCAAAGCUCAACGAUAAGUGAAGUUACUCAUAUGGGUUGUGCUGGUUUUUGGCACUUCAACAUUUCGAGCAUAAUUAUUUGUUUGCUGUGUAAAUUUCCGCUAUCGAGAUGAUGUCGAACCGAAAACGUCAGCAGUUCCACCACUUAGUUGAUAUCCAAUCGCAGCUUAUCGCACCAGAGGAGCGACUUGUUCCCCCGGAUCGCAUCGCAUGGAAUGGAAUAGAAUCGAAUUGGAUGGGAUCGGAUCGGAUGGGAUCCAAGUCUCUAGAGUGAGCGUGUGGAAUCAGCGGAAUUUGUGCGGUCACAAGUGGCCGUGAAAUGGGCAUGUACAUAUGUAUGUACAUAUAUUGUACAUUUAGUAAGCCGGUCGGACCGAAAUACUCCGCAAUAAAUAAGUGUGCUUAAGUAAUUGCAUUGACCGAUGGCCCCAUCGAGCAAAUAAGUCAACAAAACACCAAACUACUCGACGAAAUGCUGCAAAUACAGUAGCACGUUUGAUGAAAGAUGAACCUUGAAAUUAUUUAUAUACACAUACAUGUACAUAUGCGGGGUGCGAUAGAUGCGAUACAUUUCGAGAGUUCCAUAGACCGGAACAGGAGUUCCAGCGGCAAAUGGGAGCUACCUUCAUUGGUACAACGGACAACGGACAGCGGACAGCUACUUUCGCAGCCUUACAUGACCUCAUCCACCCAUCAAAUCCAAAUGCGUUAUCCAACUGGCCAUCCAACUGGCAUUUCAUAUGGGCAAGUCAACGUUGACGAGGCGACAGAAGGAGCAACAGGAGAGCCCGCUAUCGACCAAAUAACACGUGUCCUAACGACUCAAAGCCCCUGAUAGUCCGAGGUGGGGUAAUACUACGUCGGGAGGGGUAGUACAUGUAUCUAAAUACACACAUAUGCGUAUCUCUUGGUUUUAUUAAAUGUGUAACGCUCUAUUUGUAUGCAGCAAAUAUCAAUUUGCAAUUGGGUGACAAGCUCAGUCGAAUCAAAUGUAAACACAACAACAUAGAUAGUACAAAUUCUCCUAAUGUAUACUCUACAUUUUCAAUUAAUUACUCUUGUGCACAUAAAAUGAGAUUAGAAAAGGCGUUUCAAGGAAUCUAGAGGAUACCCUUACAUUUCGAUAA